CGGCGGACGGGUGAGUAACACGUGGAUAACCUACCUAUAAGACUGGGAUAACUUCGGGAAACCGGAGCUAGUACCGGAUAAUAUAUUGAACCGCAUGGUUCAAUAGUGAAAGACGGUUUUGCUGUCACUUAUAGAUGGAUCCGCGCCGCAUUAGCUAGUUGGUAAGGUAACGGCUUACCAAGGCAACGAUGCGUAGCCGACCUGAGAGGGUGAUCGGCCACACUGGAACUGAGACACGGUCCAG
Molecule: ribosomal RNA, 244 nt
Filed under: uncultured Staphylococcus sp.
Lineage: Bacteria; Bacillati; Bacillota; Bacilli; Caryophanales; Staphylococcaceae
Description: partial 16S ribosomal RNA
Rfam family: Bacterial small subunit ribosomal RNA
Source: RNAcentral